RNAcentral lists this long non-coding RNA (1607 nucleotides) under Salmo salar (Atlantic salmon). RNAcentral's name for it is "lncRNA (ENSSSAG00000091911.1)". The record is from RNAcentral. Lineage: Eukaryota; Metazoa; Chordata; Actinopteri; Salmoniformes; Salmonidae.
GUAGCUGUUAGCAGUUGAUGUUAGUCUUCAAUAACACAGACCCCAAAGCAAAUAAAGGGGAGGAAAACAGGUUUAUUCUUAUUCAAAGAGGACGAAUCAUGUGGGGAGGUAGAUGGUAGAUGUUCAUGCUCCCCUGUCCUCAGUGAUUCUCCCCAGUGAUUCUCUUCAGUGAUUCUCUCCACAGAACAAAGAAACAGGAUGUCAUUUAUAACCCCCCACCCUAGCCUGAGGCUGACCAAUUAGAAGUCCUUGCAGUACAACUGGACCAAUGGCCAAAUAACAACCAAAUAGUGAAGACUCCUUUUCCUUACGAGAAGUUGCAGCUGGUUGAGAACUGGGCAAAAUUAAGAGGACAUGCAUCACCUGUGCAUUGUGAGGGGAGUGGAGAAACAGCUGUGGUGGAGCAGAGUCAUCCAGGAAAACGUCCUGGACCCAUGGGUGGUCUUCAACAACAAGGAGGUGACUGGUAUUAAGAAGGAUCCAUGGCCUUGUCAAGAGGAGGUCAGAGUUCACCUAUUAUGAGGACGCCCAGGUUUAUUUCAGAGUUUGGUUGAGGGGCUCUCAAUAUGGUGGUUUUCAGUGUUGGGCUUGCAGUGUCACAUGUUGUGUUAAACAGCACGUGGAUAUCUCCACCACGGUGGAGCGGUUCCAGGAGAGGGGGGAUGAGAUGAUGGCAUAUCAACUCUCUACCUCUGACAUCAUCACCACCCCUCAUGAGCCUUCCUUCCCCAAUGAUUCUCUGCCACCCCCUCCGCCUCCCCUUUUCCCUUGUUAUUCCCCUCCCAGUCCGCCUCCACCUUACCACUCCACCCAGGACCGGGACCAGGCCCCUGACAGCACUCCUCAGGAGUUGAGGGGGAGUUUGUGGAGGAGCAAAAUAAUGUUGCAGUGGCGGGGUUACUUUGCAAACCAAGGGAAAACCAACUUCUCUCUGAGGCUAGCCGGUAUCUGACGUGGAGACUAUGACAUCCGCAGACAGUACCUCCCUCAAUUACCUCACACACGCUGGGAGGAUGGUGUUGAGCGGACUGUCCGAGCUCAACCAGCAGCUAACCAAUUUCAUAAUUAUAGUUCAUCAGACCAGAUAUAUAGUUCCCACUGGGCACAGGUGUCAUUUCAAUGUCUGGUUUUGAUUUACAUUUGGUUGAGUUGUCAACUAAUGUGAAUUCAAUGUGAAAUCCCACCCAAACAUUUACGUAAUUAGAUUUAGGUUAAAAGUUGGGUGAAAAUGUCACGUCCUGACCAGUAUAAGGGGUUAUUGGUUAUUGUAGUUUGGUCAGGACGUGGCAGGGGGUAUUUGUUUUAUGUGGUUCAGGGUUUAUUGGGAUAUGUAUUUAUGUAAGAGGGGUGUUUGUUUUAUGUGUUCCGGGGUGUUUGGGUAAUGUUCUUGUUUUGUAUUUCUAUGGUUUUCUAUGUUGUGUAUUUCUUUGUUGGCCUGGUAUGGCUCUCAAUCAGGAACAGCUGUACAUCGUUGUUUCUGAUUGGGAGUCAUACUUAGGUAGCCCUUUUUUCACCUGUGGUUUGUGGGAAGUUGUUGUUGCAUAGCUGUGUGUAGCCUGCAAUACUGUUCGUUAAGUGUUCUAAAUAAAGUUAAGAGGAGCACUCAA